Non-coding RNA from Acanthosepion pharaonis, 109 nucleotides. NCBI's taxonomy places the organism in Eukaryota, Metazoa, Mollusca, Cephalopoda, Sepiida, Sepiidae. The record is from the annotation of a GenBank genome assembly.
UUACGACCAUAUCAUGUUGAAACACCGAUUCUCGUACGAUCACCGAAGUUAAGCAAUAUCGAUUCUAGUCAGUACAUAGAUGAGUGAUCGCUUCGAAACACCAGGUGUU